UACGGGGGGGGCAAGCGUUGUUCGGAAUUACUGGGCGUAAAGGGCUCGUAGGUGGCCAACUAAGUCAGACGUGAAAUCCCCAGGCUCAACUUGGGAACUGCGUCUGAUACUGGAUGGCUUGAAUUCGGGAGAGGGAUGCAGAAUUCCAGGUGUAGCGGUGAAAUGCGUAGAGAUCCGGAGGAACACCAGUGGCGAAGGCGACACGCUGGGCCGUACCUGACGCUAAAACGCGACAGCAUGGGGAGCGAACGGG
Molecule: ribosomal RNA, 253 nt
Filed under: uncultured bacterium
Lineage: Bacteria
Description: partial 16S ribosomal RNA
Rfam family: Bacterial small subunit ribosomal RNA
Source: RNAcentral